This 71-nucleotide transfer RNA is filed under the name Ignavibacteria bacterium. RNAcentral describes it as "tRNA-Gln". It matches the Rfam family "tRNA". Rfam says of the family: Transfer RNA (tRNA) molecules are approximately 80 nucleotides in length. Lineage: Bacteria; Pseudomonadati; Ignavibacteriota; Ignavibacteria. RNAcentral also lists the same sequence under 1 other name. The record is from RNAcentral.
UGCCCCGUCGUCUAAUGGCAAGACAGUAGACUCUGGAUCUGCUUAUCGAGGUUCGAAUCCUUGCGGGGCAG